Papilio xuthus (Asian swallowtail) is the source of this 403-nucleotide long non-coding RNA. RefSeq lists it as uncharacterized. NCBI's taxonomy places the organism in Eukaryota, Metazoa, Arthropoda, Insecta, Lepidoptera, Papilionidae. The record is from RefSeq and is a predicted model, not a curated record. The transcript is spliced from 3 exons.
UGACACAAGAAUUUUAUAUAUAAGAUAAGAACUCAGAGUUUGACUAGCGUAUAUCACAGUUAAAUCAUGGAUUAAUUUGAAAUAGAAGUUACAUAAAAUAUUGGCGAUCUCAAGUGUGGGCUGGAAGAACAUUCAAAAUGUGGCAAAAUAUAUAUAAUAUUAAUACUAUUCUACAAAAUAUAGCAGCGGUUUUUGGCUCAACAAAAACCGGGCACUCUUUAAUAAUGUGUGGUACGGAAGGCUGCGCCCCUGGAUAGCAGUUACCUCGUGCAGAAACCCAUUCAGGAUCUGAUUACCGGUGUUCCUGUCAUUAAUGGAUCGUCACCGAGUACGUGGCGCCUGCAGUUAUUAAAAGUUGAUUAAUCUCGUAAAACUAUGUCGAGUCAUAUAAAAAUAUGUAAAC